GGAUGUGAGGGUGAUCUGGCUGCAGCAUCCGUCCCCUUCCUCCCUGCCUGCUCUACCUGUGUCCCUUCCGAACCUGUGACCUUGACUGAAAGGUAUGAUCACUCCUUCAGUCAAGGAUACACAAGUAGUAGUGCUUUCCUGUUAGAUCCUUCAAACAGGCUCUCACGAUGAUUCCAUGGGAAUCCCCAAAUACAGUUGCUAUAACCUUGUGGUUUUUCUGC
RNAcentral lists this small nuclear RNA (221 nucleotides) under Echinops telfairi (small Madagascar hedgehog). RNAcentral's name for it is "7SK RNA (ENSETEG00000025517.1)". It matches the Rfam family "7SK RNA". From Rfam's summary of the family: 7SK was discovered as an abundant small nuclear RNA in the mid-70s but a possible function has only recently been suggested. Two independent studies have found that 7SK RNA binds the CDK9/cyclin T complex (known as elongation factor P-TEFb). P-TEFb activates transcription by phosphorylating the C-terminal domain of RNA polymerase II. Lineage: Eukaryota; Metazoa; Chordata; Mammalia; Afrosoricida; Tenrecidae. The record is from RNAcentral.